Molecule: ribosomal RNA, 730 nt
Filed under: uncultured bacterium
Lineage: Bacteria
Description: partial 16S ribosomal RNA
Source: RNAcentral
GGGGGCCGCCUUCGCCACCGGUAUUCCUUCAGAUCUCUACGCAUUUCACCGCUACACCUGAAAUUCUACCCCCCUCUACAGUACUCUAGUUUGACAGUUUCAAAUGACCUUCCGAGGUUGAGCCCCGGGCUUUCACAUCUGACUUAACAAACCACCUGCAUGCGCUUUACGCCCAGUAAUUCCGAUUAACGCUCGCACCCUCCGUAUUACCGCGGCUGCUGGCACGGAGUUAGCCGGUGCUUCUUCUGUCGCUAACGUCAAAUAAUAAGAGUAUUAAUCCUACUACCUUCCUCACGACUGAAAGUACUUUACAACCCGAAGGCCUUCUUCAUACACGCGGCAUGGCUGCAUCAGGCUUGCGCCCAUUGUGCAAUAUUCCCCACUGCUGCCUCCCGUAGGAGUCUGGGCCGUGUCUCAGUCCCAGUGUGGCUGAUCAUCCUCUCAGACCAGCUAGGGAUCGUCGCCUUGGUGAGCCAUUACCUCACCAACUAGCUAAUCCCACAUAGGCGUAUCCAGUAGCGCGAGGCCCGAAGGUCCCCCGCUUUGCUCCGAAGAGGUUAUGCGGUAUUAGCCAUCGUUUCCAAUGGUUAUCCCCCUCUACUGGGCAACUUCCUAUGCAUUACUCACCCGUCCGCCGCUCGUCAGCAGAUAGCAAGCUAUCUCUGUUACCGCUCGACUUGCAUGUGUUAGGCCUGCCGCCAGCGUUCAAUCUGAGCCAGGAUCAAACUCU